AUGAAUUUUGACAGAUCCCUUCGGGGUGAAGACAAAAUGGCUUAGCGGCGGACGGGUGAGUAACACGUGAGUAACCUGCCUUAGACAUUGGGAUAGCCUCGGGAAACCGGGAUUAAUACCAAAUAAAAUCAUAGGUGCACAUGCACUAAUGAUCAAAACUCCGGUGGUCUAAGAUGGACUCGCGUCCCAUUAGCUAGUUGGUAGGGUAACGGCCUACCAAGGCGACGAUGGGUAGCCGGCCUGAGAGGGUGAACGGCCACAUUGGAACUGAGAAACGGUCCAAACUCCUACGGGAGGCAGCAGUGGGGAAUAUUGCACAAUGGAGGGAACUCUGAUGCAGCGACGCCGCGUGAACGAAGAAGGCUUUCGAGUCGUAAAGUUCUUUUAUAUGGGAAGAUAAUGACGGUACCAUAAGAAAAAGCCCCGGCUAACUACGUGCCAGCAGCCGCGGUAAUACGUAGGGGGCUAGCGUUGUCCGGAAUCACUGGGCGUAAAGGGUUCGCAGGCGGAAAUGCAAGUCAGGUGUAAAAGGCAGUAGCUUAACUACUGUAAGCAUUUGAAACUGCAUAUCUUGAGAAGAGUAGGGGUAAGUGGAAUUUUUAGUGUAGCGGUGAAAUGCGUAGAUAUUAAAAAGAAUACCGGUGGCGAAGGCGACUUACUGGGCUCAUUCUGACGCUGAGGAACGAAAGCGUGGGUAGCAAACAGGAUUAGAUACCCUGGUAG
Molecule: ribosomal RNA, 723 nt
Filed under: uncultured bacterium
Lineage: Bacteria
Description: bacterial SSU rRNA
Rfam family: Bacterial small subunit ribosomal RNA
Source: RNAcentral